UAUGAAAGAAUCACAGUCUCUACUUCAGCUUCUGACUGCAGUUAUAAUUGUGGGAGAGCUCCCAGUCUCUCCCCCACCCCUCCAUUUUCAUCUAUUGCAGUUUCCGAACUCUAACUGCGGUUUUCUGGUCUGUGAGAAGGGAGGAGUCAGGCAAAAUCAACAUAACUCUAAAUGUAGGUUAGGUAAAUUGGAAAUAAACGCGAUCAGGCCGUAGCAAAACGGUUCUGCCUUCCGCCUGUCAGAUUCUUGCUGGGGAUCUCCACCUGAAUGGAGAACACUGAGCCCUUCCAGAAAGAGAUGUAGUUUUAAUGUUAAGUCAUCUGACUUCCUUCCAUCUCGGAGAGUGUCAAAGCAGAGGAGAAAAGGCUUUUUCAGCACAGUGAAGGAUGACAUGGUUGCCUUACUCAUGGGCUGAGGAUGAAGGGAAGACAACGCCAUUCAAACUACUGUAAGCAGAAAAAAGAUGCUGUUGGAAUAUCUUUGUCUCAUGGUUAGAUCCAAAACGAAUACGACCCAUACGCCACGAGUGAAUUUUCACAAAGGAAGGAAGAGUUUUUCUAGCUGAAUGCUGUCCUCCAGUAAGGUUUUUUCUUCAGCCCCAAACCAGCUUGCCCCAUCUUUAUUGAUCAAUUGAUUAAAUUGUUACCCUCUUUAUUACUUUAUAAAUAACUCAAGGUGGCAAACAUUCCUAAAAUUCCUUCCUCUUCCUGUUUCCCCUUCAUAGUCAGCUGGCAUCUCAUCAAAUUUUCAAAACUCAGAUUUCUGGAGGAGCUUCAUGGAGACUCUUAGGAGAUGCC
This is a long non-coding RNA of Pantherophis guttatus, 797 nucleotides long. RefSeq lists it as uncharacterized. NCBI's taxonomy places the organism in Eukaryota, Metazoa, Chordata, Lepidosauria, Squamata, Colubridae. The record is from RefSeq and is a predicted model, not a curated record.